This 137-nucleotide unclassified non-coding RNA is filed under the name uncultured Sordariales. Its description in RNAcentral is "sequence contains ITS1". The record is from RNAcentral. Lineage: Eukaryota; Fungi; Ascomycota; Sordariomycetes; Sordariales.
CAGAGUUGCAAGACUCCCAACCCUUUGCGAACGAACUAGACAGUUGCCUCGGCGGGAGAGCUCCCCAGGAGCAUCCCGCCGGAGGACCACUAAACUCUUGAAUUUUUGGCCUCUCUGAGUAACUUUACAAUGAGUUA